AACGAACGCUGGCGGCAGGCUUAACACAUGCAAGUCGAACGGCUGUAGCAAUACAGCAGUGGCAGACGGGUGAGUAACACGUGGGAACCUUCCUAGGGGUACGGAACAACUCAGGGAAACUUGAGCUAAAUACCGUAUACGUCCGUAAGGAGAAAGAUUCAUCGCCCCUAGACGGGCCCGCGUCGGAUUAGGUAGUUGGUGGGGUAACGGCCUACCAAGCCUGCGAUCCGUAGCUGAUCUGAGAGGAUGAUCAGCCACACUGGGACUGAGACACGGCCCAGACUCCUACGGGAGGCAGCAGUGGGGAAUCUUGGACAAUGGGCGCAAGCCUGAUCCAGCCAUGCCGCGUGAGU
RNAcentral lists this ribosomal RNA (353 nucleotides) under uncultured bacterium. RNAcentral describes it as "bacterial SSU rRNA". It matches the Rfam family "Bacterial small subunit ribosomal RNA", at positions 29 to 406 of the family's 1533-position model. The record is from RNAcentral.